CUAACAAGUGGUUUAAAUGCAGAUCCACCAAACUCUGCACAAACACCAACCCCAUAAACAGCUGCCUGACGAACAUCUGGAUUUUCAUCAUUGCAGGCCUCCAAAAGGAAAGGAACAUAAGUAUCAUAAUAUUUAAUAGCUGCUUCCCGGCAUUGCUCCACAACAUCAUCAAAUAUGCAAAUGGCAAUUCUCCUCUCUUCUGCUGUUUUAUCCUUACCCCACAUGGGUGUUAUGUAAGAUGAGAGCUCAUCAAAGAAAGGCAAGAAAGAGACCCUAAAGGUCUUAAUUAGCGUGCCCAAUAAUUCACCAACUUGAUCAAAGAUUUCUUCUUCUUGCUCAUUUUCUUCCUUAAGUAACUCCCCUUCUUCUGCAUCAAAGUCCUCUGCUUUGGCCCUCUCUGCUCUUUCCUGUUUCCUGGCUGUGCUGGCUGUGAUGACCUGUUUCACCUCAUCUACAAUGGACCUUACUUGGUUUUCAUCUAAAAUAGGUCCAGAAACCUGUACACACUCCGUCAAUGAAUCCAACAUGCUUGCACAAAUUUCCACCUCUGGCUCCUUGUGUAAAGCCUCCAUCAAAGCUGGUAUAAUGUAAUCAGACAGUUGCUUCAAAUAUGACUCAUUACGUCCAUGAGAUUGACCUUUUUCUAUAGCUAGCUUAGCUGAACGUAGUAGUUCUGGCAUAGCUGAAACAGC
Molecule: unclassified non-coding RNA, 692 nt
Filed under: Hevea brasiliensis (rubber tree)
Lineage: Eukaryota; Viridiplantae; Streptophyta; Magnoliopsida; Malpighiales; Euphorbiaceae
Source: RNAcentral